RNAcentral lists this transfer RNA (74 nucleotides) under Solirubrobacterales bacterium. Its description in RNAcentral is "tRNA-Arg". It matches the Rfam family "tRNA". From Rfam's summary of the family: Transfer RNA (tRNA) molecules are approximately 80 nucleotides in length. Their secondary structure includes four short double-helical elements and three loops (D, anti-codon, and T loops). Lineage: Bacteria; Bacillati; Actinomycetota; Thermoleophilia; Solirubrobacterales. The record is from RNAcentral. RNAcentral also lists the same sequence under 2 other names.
GCCCCUGUAGCUCAGCUGGAUAGAGCAGCGGCCUUCUAAGCCGCAGGUCCCAGGUUCGAAUCCUGGCGGGGGCA